Molecule: small nucleolar RNA, 135 nt
Filed under: Gouania willdenowi (blunt-snouted clingfish)
Lineage: Eukaryota; Metazoa; Chordata; Actinopteri; Blenniiformes; Gobiesocidae
Description: Small nucleolar RNA SNORA5 (ENSGWIG00000013632.1)
Rfam family: Small nucleolar RNA SNORA5
About the family: ACA5 is a member of the H/ACA class of snoRNA that guide the sites of modification of uridines to pseudouridines.
Source: Rfam by way of RNAcentral
UGCAGCUUUGUCAAAUUCAGUGUGUCACCUUUAGUUGACCCUACUGGCCAAAAUAGCUGGAACAUAAAAUGUAGCUCAUGGGCCUUGCCGCUCUUCAUCUGUGACAGUGAGGAUAAAAAUGUGUUAUUGACGAGA